RNAcentral lists this ribosomal RNA (433 nucleotides) under uncultured bacterium. RNAcentral describes it as "partial 16S ribosomal RNA". It matches the Rfam family "Bacterial small subunit ribosomal RNA", at positions 38 to 507 of the family's 1533-position model. The record is from RNAcentral.
AAGGAAAGAGGGAGGGAGGAGGAACACAGGCAAGUCGAACGAACCUUUCGGGGUGAGUGGCAGACGGGUGAGUAACGCGUGGGAAUCUACCCUUCUCUAUGGGAUAGCUCCGGGAAACUGGAAUUAAUACCGUAUACGUCCUGAGGGAGAAAGAUUUAUCGGGGAAGGAUGAGCCCGCGUUGGAUUAGCUAGUUGGUGGGGUAAAGGCCUACCAAGGCGACGAUCCAUAGCUGGUCUAAGAGGAUGAUCAGCCACAUUGGGACUGAGACACGGCCCAAACUCCUACGGGAGGCAGCAGUGGGGAAUAUUGGACAAUGGGCGCAAGCCUGAUCCAGCCAUGCCGCGUGAGUGAUGAAGGCCCUAGGGUUGUAAAGCUCUUUCAGUGGGGACGAUAAUGACGGUACCCACAGAAGAAGCCCCGGCUAACUUCGUU